GUCUGUAGCUCAGUGGAACAGUUCUUGCCUAGCAUGCAUGAGGAACUGGGUUCGAUCCUUAGCACCACA
RNAcentral lists this transfer RNA (69 nucleotides) under Marmota monax (woodchuck). RNAcentral's name for it is "tRNA.Ala". The record is from RNAcentral. Lineage: Eukaryota; Metazoa; Chordata; Mammalia; Rodentia; Sciuridae.